UACGUAGGUGACCAGCGUUGUCCGGAUUUACUGGGCGUAAAGAGCGCGCAGGCGGUCGUUCAAGUCGAGUGUGAAAGCCCCCGGCUCAACUGGGGAGGGUCAUUCGAUACUGAUCGACUUGAAGGCAGGAGAGGGAAGCGGAAUUCCCGGUGUAGUGGUGAAAUGCGUAGAUAUCGGGAGGAACACCAGUGGCGAAGGCGGCUUCCUGGCCUGUUCUUGACGCUGAGGCGCGAAAGCGUGGGGAGCAAACAGG
This 253-nucleotide ribosomal RNA is filed under the name uncultured bacterium. Its description in RNAcentral is "partial 16S ribosomal RNA". It matches the Rfam family "Bacterial small subunit ribosomal RNA", at positions 524 to 776 of the family's 1533-position model. The record is from RNAcentral.